This 649-nucleotide long non-coding RNA is filed under the name Ananas comosus (pineapple). RNAcentral's name for it is "long non-coding RNA (ACOM_LNC036061)". Lineage: Eukaryota; Viridiplantae; Streptophyta; Magnoliopsida; Poales; Bromeliaceae. The record is from RNAcentral.
AUCCCGAUUUUUACGUCGCCUUCGUCGCUAGUAUCGAGCUCCUUCUUAGUCACGAUCAUCUCUAUCCCGUAUAGAUACUCCCACACUCGCUGCUUCUUCCCUUUUACUGAAUCCAAAUCCAUCAUCACUUUCUCUUGCUGAGCCCGGCUGCGAUGUCCGGAACCUUAAUUUCAAUCCACACACAACUUUAAAAGAAAAUUUUUUUUUUUAAAAAAGUUACAAAACAUGAAUCCUUCUUGUGCGCCAAGAAAAAAAAAGGAAAAAGAAAAUAAUAUGAGAAAAAAAAGUAUGAAGAAAUCUUAUUUUACUCAUUUGUUCUUAUAGAAUCAAUUUAUUUAGAUGAUUGACCAAAUAAAUAUAUUAAUUGAGAGGUGGGGGUUAGAAAGAUGAAGCAUCGGGUGAAGUUGGAACCAUGUAAACACAUUAAUUGAGAGGUAGGGAUUAGGAAGAUGAAGUAUUAGGUGGAGAUGGAACUAUAUAAACACAUUAAUUGAGAGGUAGGAGGUUAGAAAGAUGAAGCAUUGGUUAGAGAUGAGAGUGGGAAGAUGGAAGGCAAGGGUGAAGGAGGAUACGCCAUGUGGCAAAAGUUUAUGAAAAAUAAUGUAUAGGUAUAAAUAUAAAUAUAAAUAUGUUGCAUGUAAAUUCAUAU